Molecule: ribosomal RNA, 492 nt
Filed under: uncultured bacterium
Lineage: Bacteria
Description: partial 16S ribosomal RNA
Rfam family: Bacterial small subunit ribosomal RNA
Source: RNAcentral
AGUGAACGCUGGCGGUAGGCCUAACACAUGCAAGUCGAACGGCAGCACAGUAAGAGCUUGCUCUUACGGGUGGCGAGUGGCGGACGGGUGAGGAAUACAUCGGAAUCUACUUUUUCGUGGGGGAUAACGUAGGGAAACUUACGCUAAUACCGCAUACGACCUACGGGUGAAAGCAGGGGAUCUUCGCACCUUGCGCGAUUGAAUGAGCCGAUGUUGGACUAGUUAGUUGGCGGGUUAAAGGCCAACCAAGGCGACGAUCGGUAGCUGGUCUGAGAGGAGGAUCGGCCACAUGGGAACUGGGACACGGUCCAGACUCCUGCGGGAGGCAGCAGAGGGGAAUAUUGGACAGAGGGCGCAAGCAUGAUCCAGCCAUACCGCGUGGGUGAAGAAGGCCUUCGGGUUGUAAAGCCCUUUUGUUGGGAAAGAAAAGCAGCAGGUUAAUACCCCGCUGUUCUGACGGUACCCAAAGAAUAAGCACCGGCUAACUUCGUG